RNAcentral lists this small nuclear RNA (107 nucleotides) under Neotoma lepida (desert woodrat). The record is from RNAcentral. Lineage: Eukaryota; Metazoa; Chordata; Mammalia; Rodentia; Cricetidae.
GUGCUCACUUCGGCAGCACAUACACUAAAAUUGGAACAAUACAGAGAAGAUUAGCAUGGCCCCAGCACAAGGAUGACACACAAAUUCGUGAAGCAUUCCAUAUUUUU